RNAcentral lists this ribosomal RNA (253 nucleotides) under uncultured bacterium. RNAcentral describes it as "partial 16S ribosomal RNA". It matches the Rfam family "Bacterial small subunit ribosomal RNA", at positions 524 to 776 of the family's 1533-position model. The record is from RNAcentral.
CACGGGGGGAGCAAGCGUUGUUCGGAUUUACUGGGCGUAAAGGGCGCGUAGGCGGCGCAACAAGUCACUUGUGAAAUCUCCGGGCUUAACCCGGAGCGGUCAAGUGAUACUGUCGUGCUAGAGUGCGGAAGGGGCUACUGGAAUUCUCGGUGUAGCGGUGAAAUGCGUAGAUAUCGAGAGGAACACCUGCGGCGAAGGCGGGUAGCUGGGCCGACACUGACGCUGAUGCGCGAAAGCCAGGGGAGCGAACGGG